AACUGAUACUACCUGCGGGAACCUGCGGAGGGAUCAUUAACGAGUUUUGAAGUGGGAUUGAUGCUGGCCUUCCGAGGCAUGUGCUCGUCCUCGCUCAUCCACUCACAACACCUGUGCACUGUUGAGGUGUGGCCCCCCUUCAAUGGAGCCGUUCCCCCCUAGGGGGUCGAGCCGGGGUCAGGCCUUCUUCGUCACAAACAACUUGUAAUGUCUAUUCGGGAUGUAAUGCUUCAUGUUAAU
This 240-nucleotide unclassified non-coding RNA is filed under the name soil metagenome. RNAcentral's name for it is "partial contains 5.8S ribosomal RNA, internal transcribed spacer 2, and large subunit ribosomal RNA". The record is from RNAcentral.